RNAcentral lists this ribosomal RNA (274 nucleotides) under uncultured bacterium. Its description in RNAcentral is "partial 16S ribosomal RNA". It matches the Rfam family "Bacterial small subunit ribosomal RNA", at positions 523 to 796 of the family's 1533-position model. The record is from RNAcentral.
AUACGGAGGGUGCGAGCGUUAAUCGGAAUUACUGGGCGUAAAGCGUACGUAGGCGGUUGGUUAAGUUAGAUGUGAAAGCCCCGGGCUUAACCUGGGAACUGCAUUUAAAACUGGCGAACUAGAGUUGAGUAGAGGGGAGUGGAAUUUCAGGUGUAGCGGUGAAAUGCGUAGAGAUCUGAAGGAACACCAGUGGCGAAGGCGACUCCCUGGACUAAAACUGACGCUGAGGUACGAAAGCGUGGGUAGCAAACAGGAUUAGAUACCCCGGUAGUCC